UAGGGAAUAUUGGACAAUGGGCGCAAGCCUGAUCCAGCCAUGCCGCGUGCAGGAUGAAGGUCCUAUGGAUUGUAAACUGCUUUUAUACAGGAGAAAUAAGCCCUUGCGAGGGCCUAUGAUCGUACUGUAAGAAUAAGCACCGGCUAACUCCGUGCCAGCAGCCGCGGUAAGACGGAGGGUGCAAGCGUUAUCCGGAUUCACUGGGUUUAAAGGGUACGUAGGCGGUCGAGUAAGUCAAUGGUGAAAUCUAGCAGCUUAACUGUUAACGUGCCAUUGAUACUGCUUGACUUGAGUAUAGUCGAGGUGGGCGGAAUUCUACAUGUAGCGGUGAAAUGCAUAGAUAUGUAGAGGAACACCAAUAGCGAAGGCAGCUCACUAGGCUAUUACUGACGCUGAGGUACGAAAGCGUGGGGAGCAAACAGGAUUAGAUACCCCCGUAGUCC
RNAcentral lists this ribosomal RNA (443 nucleotides) under uncultured prokaryote. RNAcentral's name for it is "bacterial SSU rRNA". It matches the Rfam family "Bacterial small subunit ribosomal RNA", at positions 355 to 796 of the family's 1533-position model. The record is from RNAcentral.